ACGAACGCUGGCGGCGUGCUUAACACAUGCAAGUCGAACGGAAAGGCCCUGCUUUUGUGGGGUGCUCGAGUGGCGAACGGGUGAGUAACACGUGAGUAACCUGCCCUUGACUUUGGGAUAACUUCAGGAAACUGGGGCUAAUACCGGAUAGGAGCUCCUGCUGCAUGGUGGGGGUUGGAAAGUGUCGGCGGUUGGGGAUGGACUCGCGGCUUAUCAGCUUGUUGGUGGGGUAGUGGCUUACCAAGGCUUUGACGGGUAGCCGGCCUGAGAGGGUGACCGGCCACAUUGGGACUGAGACACGGGCCAGAAUCCUACGGGAGGCAGCAGUGGGGAAUAUUGCACAAUGGGCGGAAGCCUGAUGCAGCAACGCCGCGUGCGGGAUGACGGCCUUCGGGUUGUAAACCGCUUUCGCCUGUGACGAAGCGUGAGUGACGGUAAUGGGUAAAGAAGCACCGGCUAACUACGUG
Molecule: ribosomal RNA, 467 nt
Filed under: uncultured bacterium
Lineage: Bacteria
Description: partial 16S ribosomal RNA
Rfam family: Bacterial small subunit ribosomal RNA
Source: RNAcentral